Molecule: ribosomal RNA, 252 nt
Filed under: uncultured bacterium
Lineage: Bacteria
Description: partial 16S ribosomal RNA
Rfam family: Bacterial small subunit ribosomal RNA
Source: RNAcentral
UACGGAGGAUGCGAGCGUUAUCCGGAUUUAUUGGGUUUAAAGGGUGCGUAGGCGGGCUGUUAAGUCAGCGGUAAAAGCCCGGGGCUCAACCCCGGCGAGCCGUCGAAACUGGCUGUCUUGAGAUGUCGAGAGGUAUGCGGAAUGCGCAGUGUAGCGGUGAAAUGCUUAGAUAUUGCGCAGAACUCCGAUUGCGAAGGCAGCAUACCGGCGGCGAUCUGACGCUGAGGCACGAAAGCGUGGGUAUCGAACAGG